UUCUCUGAGUGCUGGGUUUAACCAUAGCCUAACAUAACAUAUACAUUUCUUAUACAUGUAAAGUAAACAAUACGUUCUAAUAUGAUGACAGGAAUAAGUAUAUUUCAAGCCAGAAUCCAACAGGUAGAAAAGUGAAUGUUUCUCUGUCUCUCAACUUCAUAAUUGCAUUGAGUCAUGUGUGUAACUUGCCCUCUGUUUGACAGCCAUAUUUCAGGAUAGUCAGACGGGGCAUCUCCAGAAGAAGACUGACGGGCUUCACCUGUGUGAAACAGAGGAAACACUACCUCUACCGUUUGACAGGGAAGGCCCACCAACAAUACGACCUCAAACACAUUAUUAAUCAAGCAGGAAAACUGAUUUGUGAAAGAAAAUGCAUUAGUCAUACACAUCAGACCAUGUGUAUGAUCAAAUGUAGGCAUGGCCUAUGUUAUUAAUUGAUCUAAUGCAAAACAUUUCAUUAAACUGAGAAAUUACGUGACCGUAAACAAGAGACUACCUUGUGAGCCACAACUCUGCAUGCCUUGUAUAAUGUUAUAACUGCUUGACAACAAAUGCUUUAGAAAUGAGUUGAUUGCGUUGUACUCUCUUUGUUUGUGCCUCUAUAGUAGCUCGGUAACUUAUGGUCAUGUAAUAUAUCUGAAUAUAUUCAAGAGGAGGCAUCAGAUUCUGAGAAAAAUAGUUGAGGACAAGGCAACCUUGACAGCCGCCAUUGUUGAACUUCAUGAGCAGCAGGCAGAGUUUAGGCGCCCCACAGUGGAUGAGCUGCUCAGUACUGACAACUGUGUGUGGCCUUGGGAGAGACUUGGCACCAGCAACGGCCAUUUUGCCAUCUUGGACAAACUGAUGUUGGUGAACAGACUGCAGGAGGAAGAGAGGAUACUGGGGCAGGAGAUGAAGAGGCACUGGGGCAGGAGAUGAAGAGGCACUGGGGGAGCCUACAAAGAGCAGCUGGAACUCUGGAGGAACUGUCCCGACAGCUGCAAGAUCAGAGCAAUGCAGUGGAGUUGUCAAAGGGAGGGAGGAUUGGCCUUAUCUGACUACUGAAGAGAAGAUUGAGUGUACCGACACAAGACCAAGACAACACCAGGAACGCCUACCACAAGCUGAUUCUGGGAGAAGGGGCUAUUUUUGAUGACUCUGAUGUAGACGAGAACUCAGAUGAAGAUAGAUGUCCUAUUGCUGAGAGCUCAGAUGACGAAUGCUAUUCAUUAUGAAAUCAUACACCACCCCUGCCUCUUUCUCUCGGUCUCGCUCUCUCCCGCAGAAGAGGGAGAAGGCCGCCACCACCUCCCUCGGGAGCAGCCUGGUCUCCCGACGUUGACCCCUGAUCCCACGCCUUCUGAACCCAUCCAGGGAAAUGUAAUUUGCCUGAUGACAUGCUAGUGGAGAAGGAAUGUCUAAUUUCAACGCAUUUGUUGCCAUGUUUCCUCUCCUCACCUCCGUUUCCUCCAGUCCUGGACUAUGGCGACGUCAUCACAGCUCAGACUGUUGGCUGAGGACCUCUUUACUGAGGACUGUGGCUGUUCUAAAUGUUAUUUUAUUAUUAUAUAUUUUGGGGUAUUUUCUAUGCUGCUGGGAUUGUGAUUUUUGUGUAAUUUGGAGUUGCAAAAGAGUCCUUGGUCUCAAUGGGACUGCUAAAAUAAAUAA
Long non-coding RNA from Coregonus clupeaformis (lake whitefish), 1647 nucleotides. RefSeq lists it as uncharacterized. The record is from RefSeq and is a predicted model, not a curated record. NCBI's taxonomy places the organism in Eukaryota, Metazoa, Chordata, Actinopteri, Salmoniformes, Salmonidae. The transcript has 3 exons.